GCGGUGAUGUUGAUUUUUUUUUUUUUUCAUUCCAAAUAAAGUUCACAUUUUAAUACAACAACUGGCGGAUAAAAGGUAGUCCCCAGACACUAGAGCCCACAUGAUGGCGGCGACUUAAACCCACUCCGGGGUACCUUACUGCAAUACAACAACUGAGUAAAACCAGAAGAAAAACUAGAUACUCAACUUUCAACUACCUAAAGGACGUAACAAGUUGACUUAGCAAAAUUUAGAACUAAGAAUAGGUCAGUGAACGAGAAUUGUUUAUCGCUGCUGCCAAUAGCCCGCCACACAAGAAACUCCACUUCCUACACCCCAACACCACGACUUACCGCUGCUGCUCAUGCCCGCCAUACGAUAACGCCCAAGAAACCAAGACUCUACGACUUCAUAAUCCGACAGAACGAACCUCUACCCGGUUCACACAAUCUUCGGAUACGGAUGUGACGCUUUUAGCGCCCACUAACUCCUAGAUAUAAGCCCGAACAAACUCCAUAAAGAUGAAGCCUUGCCAAUCGAAAAUUCCAACCGAAACGGCAAGCGACCACUGCAACCUCCUCCAUUUGAAAUAAACCUGCUAAGUCAACUCUCACAAAACCUUACUUAAACACCACUUUUUUGGUUAACGGGACGCCAAAAGUCAAUAAACGUCAACGGACUGAAACCGGAAGGCAAGGGAUCCAAGGAUACCACUGCUCCAAACACCAUAGACGAACUAAAACGUCAUCAGCUCUGCUUACCCGUCACAGAAACAACCGGACUGCUCAUCAGACUCAUCCCACUCAUGAAGAAUGUGAUGCUAUCUAAACAUUUUAUUUAUGUAGUUACGUCGCGUUUCGUCCUAUAACGUAUCAAGAGACCAUGAUUUAUAUAGAACGUACGUGAGUUCUCCUAAUAUAUCGUCAGAAAUAAUUAUUAUCAUACGCCAACUGAUCAGCGAUAUGAUUAAAAUGGAGACCAAUUCGUUGUUUAUUCCUAAUACCCUGAGUUUUUAUAUAUCCGGAGUCUGGAAAUGAACAUAUAUAACCUAGAUCUGUAAAUGUCAUGAUAUAAGCAUCAUCUGUACUAUAUGAGGCGUAUUGGUUGAUUCAGUGUUUGUUUUAGUAAACUUGAGGUUGAACAGAACAGAGCUCUCAUGAAGAAGAUGAAGUUGAGAAGAUUUGGAAAUGAAUGAAUAGUUUCUGUUAAUUGUAAAGUAACGAGAUACAAGUGUUUAUAUACAAACCAUAAACUAUCCGCCGGUACAAGCCGGUUUCAACUAAACCACUAUCUAAAUGUGUAAACCACAUCACCAUGCCUUAAUAGUUUGUUUUCAUAACAUAUUGAUUAAAAAUCAUUGAUAUUAUGAAGAACAAAUGAUAAAUCUAAACUAAUGCAUGGUGGUCUGUGGACUGUGGUAACUGAAUAAUUUACUAUGAUUUGAGUAACGAUGGUUCAAGCGUUUCCACUUUACGAUUACAAUUGUGACCGACAUCUUUAAACAUUUUAAACAGUAUAAAAUUUUAACAUUUUUACAAAAAAAAAAACAUUUUAAGCAAUAUAUAUAUAUAUACAUGCAUAUAUAUGCAAGUUUGGAGAUUUAUCUGGACUCUGGUUCAUGAACUUUCAGUUAGUAAUUAACGAUGAAUCUAACUGAUAGAUACUCUGAACAACAUAACGACUGAAAAUAUGCUUAACUGAGAAACAAUAUAGUGAAAAAGAAAAAAAGAAAUUUAUAAAGCUUGGCAAAAUCCAACAAAAAAAUAUCUCAUCCCAUCCAUAUAUAUAUUUUUAAUUCUCAUCUCAUCUAGAUUUUUUCUGUCUGAAACUAACAUUAUUAUCUUUUGUCAAACAACAGAUAGCGCAAAACCUCAAUAUUUAUGAACAUAGUAUACCAUCAAAUACAACGCCAUACCUAAUAAUCAUUAUGAUUACGUAUUCACUUAUGUAAGUGGUAGAUAUUAGGAUUAGUAUUAGUAGCAACAUGCGCGUCUCACUAGACCACAAAACUCUUUCUUAGUAAUUAAGUCCCAAAUUGUGAAGUAAUUAUGGGAUUCUACCUUAACUUCCACUAACCAACUUUUAAAAUUGUAAGCAAAGCUUUUUGUUCAAAAUAUCAUUGUAUGUGAAAUAAGAACAUGAUUAAUCUCGUUUUCUUAUUUAAAAUUUUUAACUCACAAUUUAACUUUUUUUUUUACAUUUUCCGGUUAAGAAACUUCUCUUUUUCUUAAUUAAAAGUUAAGAAUCAUUUUUUUGCCGAAAUUAAGAACUUAGUUAAGAGAUCGGUUUAAUCAUGACCUAAUAUUUUAAGCGCAAGAAAACAAAAAGAAACGACAAGGCAUUUGGCUGACAUAAGCAACGUAAAAUCUUGUAGUAACAAUCAGCAAAAUUUAGUGGACCAGUCUAUUUGUCUACUCUUGGCUGCGGUUGAUUAAGGACCCACAUUAGAAAAUAUAAAGAUGAUGGGGUCCAAAUGGCAUAAUAAUAAAGUUGAUGACUCGAUAAUUUUUAUUUUAAAAAAAUUGAAGAGAGGUGACAUUUCUCGUCCAAGUAAUUGAUACUGUAAUGGUUAAUGGAGUCAGAAUCAUCCAACAAAAAAGUUAGGUUAUGAUGAUGGUUCUACGUUGUUACAUUUCUUUCAAAAAUCCUAACUAUUUAGGUCUGACCUAGGCCGGGGAGUUUCUAGUGAUGUUUAUUUAGAUUAUAAAUGAACCCAUUCAUAUAUGGAUCUAACGCAAUAAUUCAUUUAUUUGAAUUCAUAUAAACUGGGAUGAAAAAAAAACUGACAACGUCGAACGGUCGAAGACACAGUAUUUUCAAUUAAUACGUACAUCUUAAAUACAAAUUGAUUUUUAAAUAGGUUAAGAACUCUGAACAUUGGGUCAAAUUGAGUGACCAACUGACCAUACAUCUUAAAUGAUGAAAGCAAUUUAUAUAAAAAAUAUCUCUGGAUUUAAAACUGUAUAAUUUGUUCGGCCACGCCAAGAACGAAAUCAAUUAAUUUAUCAACAGAGUAAACAUGUAUUCUAUUGACUAUUGUAAUGGAAAUAUUUUUGGUUCAACAACUAAGAAAAACAAAGCUGUUUUUGUUUAAUACAAAUAUCAGUGCGGCUCUUCACUAUGGUAUUAGGGCCAAGUUAUGAUCUAAAUCUGGCUAGGUUUGAAUUAAGCUAUAUCUACAAGAAAACAAACAAAUAUUGAUACGAAACUGAAUAUUUACUAAAGUAAAAUGUUUAGUUUAGUUUACUUUCUUUGUUUAUUUUUUUGUGUAGGCUAUGCUUCUUUAUAUGGCCUGUGAACUUUGGUGGCCUAAGUUAGGCCCAAAAUUUUCUCAAGUACCAUAAUGAUAAUCUCUUCACAGGAAGAUGUGUGUUGUGUUAUACGAAGUUAUACGGGACGCCGGUAUGUCAAACAAAAACGGAAUUGGUUCUUUUCAGACUAUUAAGUACACUUGGCGGUGAUGUUGAUUUUUUUUUUUUUUCAUUCCAAAUAAAGUUCACAUUUUAAUACAACAACUGGCGGAUAAAAGGUAGUCCCCAGACACUAGAGCCCACAUGAUGGCGGCGACUUAAACCCACUCCGGGGUACCUUACUGCAAUACAACAACUGAGUAAAACCAGAAGAAAAACUAGAUACUCAACUUUCAACUACCUAAAGGACGUAACAAGUUGACUUAGCAAAAUUUAGAACUAAGAAUAGGUCAGUGAACGAGAAUUGUUUAUCGCUGCUGCCAAUAGCUCGCCACACGAGAAACUCCACUUCCUACACCCCAACACCACGACUUACCGCUGCUGCUCAUGCCCGCCAUACGAUAACGCCCAAGAAACCAAGACUCUACGACUUCAUAAUCCGACAGAACGAACCUCUACCCGGUUCACACAAUCUUCGGAUACGGAUGUGACGCUUUUAGCGCCCACUAACUCCUAGAUAGAAGCCCAAACAAACUCCAUAAAGAUGAAGCCUUGCCAAUCGAAAAUUCCAACCGAAAAGGCAAGCGACCACUGUAACCUCCUCCAUUUGAAAUAAACCUGCUAAGUCAACUCUCACAAAACCUUACUUAAACACCACUUUUUUGGUUAACGGGACGCCAAAAGUCAAUAAACGUCAACGGACUGAAACCGGAAGGCAAGGGAUCCAAGGAUACCACUGCUCCAAACACCAUAGACGAACUAAAACGUCAUCAGCUCUGCUUACCCGUCACAGAAACAACCGGACUGUUCAUCAGACUCAUCCCACUCAUGAAGAUCACUACACGAGAGAUCCAGAAAAUUGAAAAAUGAAAGCUCUCAAGACCCAUAAACUUCGACUCCCCUCAGCAGAGACUGCUACAAUCUGUCGCGUCGCACCUCCAGCCAUGGCUGACGCAUCUCCGGUCCGAACAACCUUGAGGGCAGAUCUAUCCAUAAACGAGACCCCACACCAGAGAAAACGAACAAGACGACGAGAGAACAGAUCUGUCGGGGAAGCAAACUAGAAAGCAAAAAGUAAGAUGGAAGGUGCCUCCGGCGUCGGCACGCGCCGUCACGCGCCACCGGACGCCGGGGUUAAUUCAAUCGCGUUUUGUAAGCUCUUCUCUCUCGCGAGUCAAGAAAUCCAACCUUAUAAUUAGUUAGUUAUGGCGGUGAUGUUGAUAACCAACAACAAAUG
RNAcentral lists this long non-coding RNA (4626 nucleotides) under Brassica napus (rape). RNAcentral describes it as "long non-coding RNA (BNAP_LNC001394)". The record is from RNAcentral. Lineage: Eukaryota; Viridiplantae; Streptophyta; Magnoliopsida; Brassicales; Brassicaceae.